GCUUGUCUCAAAGAUUAAGCCAUGCAUGUCUCAGUAUAAGCUUCUAUACGGCGAAACUGCGAAUGGCUCAUUAAAACAGUUAUAGUUUAUUUGGUGGUCAACUCUUACAUGGAUAACCGUGGUAAUUCUAGAGCUAAUACAUGCGCCCAAACCCAACUUCUUGGAAGGGUUGUGUUUAUUAGAUACAGAACCAAUGCGGGGCAACCCGGAUUCUGGUGAUUCAUAAUAAUUAUCGGAUCGAUCGUAUGAUCGAUGCAUCAUUCAAGUUUCUGCCCUAUCAGCUUUGGAUGGUAGGGUAUUGGCCUACCAUGGCAUUAACGGGUAACGGAGAAUUAGGGUUCGAUUCCGGAGAGGGAGCCUGAGAAAUGGCUACCACAUCCAAGGAAGGCAGCAGG
This 395-nucleotide ribosomal RNA is filed under the name uncultured Chrysophyceae. RNAcentral's name for it is "partial small subunit ribosomal RNA". It matches the Rfam family "Eukaryotic small subunit ribosomal RNA", at positions 30 to 432 of the family's 1831-position model. Lineage: Eukaryota; Chrysophyceae. The record is from RNAcentral.